AGGUCGAGCCUCACUAGCCAGAUGAAGCUAGCUGACUGCUUAUAACGUUAGCUUUGGGCUAGAGGGUUAAGUAGUUGGUUAGCUAACUGAAGUUCAAUUUAAAUAAGCUAAUAUUAGAUAAUACGAGGUUCCUUAGGAAGAGGCUGGUUUAAAGCUCAUGUUACCCUAGCCCCUUUCAUUACAUUAGCUAGCUAAUACUUACUCACAAGGAUUCCUAAAUAAUUGCUAAGAAUGAUGAAAAUGACUAGUUUCUACUGGUCUUUGUUUUCAGGCUGGUUGUAUUGGUGUUAGCUUGGUAACUUUACCAAGCUAAUGCUAGAACGUUUCCAAUAGGAUCUCGCUAGCUCGUGCUUGGCUCUGCCCACUAUGACUCAUUUGUUCCCAUUGGAAACGACAUGUAGCGGUCUAACUUGGUUUGUAUUUGCGUAACCCUUAUACAAAUGUUAACUUUCAACUUCAAUGGGGGUGGGGACAUCCCUAUAGGAUUCCGAUUAACACGGACCCUGAAAGAAGGAAAAGAAGUGACGUCUGGUAAAAUUAAAAGGGAGUAAUAUCCGGCAUUAUUCUGUAUUAUACCAUCAAUAUUUGGUCUCUGUAAACAGAUAGUUUUUCCUGUGUGUAUUUCAUCAAACUUCCUCAAUACACACAAGUCCAUACAUUGUGCAAUCGCAUUGGGCCAAAUCACAAAUUCACCCCCUUCUGAAGAUGAGAUGCUGCAUGCUAAAUUGGUACCCUAAAAAUAAAUAUUAGUUAGGUAGCUACCUCGUCUCUCUACUUUUAGAAAGGAGCUAACUAUGACUCUUAAAUAUAAUCUACUCAACCCUAUACUGAGCGUAUUUCCGUUAGUUUGUAUAGUUUUAAUAUUAUUUACUUGUAACUUUCAGUUUUGUCAAGCUAGUGAAGUCAGACCUGAAAAAUGUCUUUGUUUGGGGUCCAGGGCUAGACCCUAAAGUCGUUUUGCCCGUUUGAUCCAGGCUGUCAACUCAGCUGGGGAAAACUUCUCUACAGGUAGACUCGUUCAGAAGCAGCAUGUCCGCAUCCACACCCACCUUCCCCUGGACAGAGGCGAUGGUUCCUUUCUGAUGAGGAAUUCUCAAUUGGCCAUGGAGGGGAGAGUGACCAAACUCAGCAUGCAUCCACAGAAAUGCACAAGAAGGACACGCUAGCUAAAGGUGCUAGCAAUAUAGUCUACUGCGGAAAAUUAUGUUCUGCCUCCUACGGAAGGUGAGCCUGUGUAUUUCUCAGUUGCCAGUGAUGCCUCAAACAAGGGAAAUAAAAAAAUGUUUCCAGCGUGCGUGAGAUAUUUCUGUGUCUGAUGGAGUGCAGUUCAAGUUACUUGACUUUUAUGAAGACAGUGAUGAAACUGCAAAUGGCAUACAUCAAGCUCUGAUGAACUGUCUGGAAAAUCAUGAACUUGAUAUUAGACACUUCACAGCCUAUGCAGCAGAUAAUGCCAAUGUCAACUGUGGAAUACACCACUCCGUUUACCAGUUAUUGAGCAGUGACAACAAUCGCAUUCUGAAAGCUAAUUGCCCAACUCGCAUAACUCAUAAUGCCUUUUGCCAUCCCAAUUGAAUAAGACUAUGAAUAUACACUGUUUAUUCAUUCCCAUAACACCAUACCCACACUGCCGUGUGACCGUGCACUGGCACGCCACCUUUUGUCCCUUAUUUGGUAGUGAGAAAGUUGGCAACCCUAAUUCAGCCUCAUUUACUGCCUUUAAAAAAAACAUAGCUGAUAUGGCUGAUUUGCUUAAACAAAUGUGGUUUUUACUGACAAUUGAGAUGUACAAACUAUGGCAUAAGGUGGGGGGAGUAGAUAAGAGGCAAUCAACCGUAAUUUCGAUUGACAUUAAUGAGCCAGCCUUGGACGGACAUAGUCAAUAUAAAUAUUUGUUCAGACUUCAGUGCCUUCCCCUCCAUU
Long non-coding RNA from Oncorhynchus keta (chum salmon), 1923 nucleotides. RefSeq lists it as uncharacterized. The record is from RefSeq and is a predicted model, not a curated record. NCBI's taxonomy places the organism in Eukaryota, Metazoa, Chordata, Actinopteri, Salmoniformes, Salmonidae. The transcript has 3 exons.